GACGAACGCUGGCGGCGUGCUUAACACAUGCAAGUCGAACGGAAAGGCCCUGCUUUUGUGGGGUGCUCGAGUGGCGAACGGGUGAGUAACACGUGAGUAACCUGCCCUUGACUUUGGGAUAACUUCAGGAAACUGGGGCUAAUACCGGAUAGGAGCUCCUGCUGCAUGGUGGGGGUUGGAAAGUUUCGGCGGUUGGGGAUGGACUCGCGGCUUAUCAGCUUGUUGGUGGGGUAGUGGCUUACCAAGGCUUUGACGGGUAGCCGGCCUGAGAGGGUGACCGGGCACAUUGGGAGUGAGAUACGGCCCAGACGCAUACGGGAGGCAGCAGUGGGGAAUAUGGCACAAUGGGCGGAAGCCUGAUGCAGCAACGCCGCGUGGGGGAUGACGGCAUUCGGGUUGUAAAACGCGUUCGCCUGUGACGAAGCGUGAGUGACGGUAAUGGGUAAAGAAGCACCGGCUAACUACGUG
RNAcentral lists this ribosomal RNA (468 nucleotides) under uncultured bacterium. Its description in RNAcentral is "partial 16S ribosomal RNA". It matches the Rfam family "Bacterial small subunit ribosomal RNA", at positions 28 to 507 of the family's 1533-position model. The record is from RNAcentral.